This 512-nucleotide ribosomal RNA is filed under the name uncultured bacterium. RNAcentral describes it as "bacterial SSU rRNA". It matches the Rfam family "Bacterial small subunit ribosomal RNA", at positions 29 to 523 of the family's 1533-position model. The record is from RNAcentral.
AAUCAACGCUGGCGGCGUGCCUAACACAUGCAAGUCGAACGCGAGAGGGGCUUCGGCCCCGAUUGAGUGGCGAACGGGUGAGUAACGCGUGGGUGACCUACCUUCGAGUGGGGGAUAACGUCCCGAAAGGGACGCUAAUACCGCAUAACAUCCUGCUUUUGAAUGGGUGGAGAUCAAAGCCGGGGAUCGCAAGACCUGGCGCUUGAUGAGGGGCCCGCGUCUGAUUAGCUAGUUGGGAGGUAACGGCCCACCAAGGCAACGAUCAGUAUCCGGCCUGAGAGGGCGGACGGACACACUGGGACUGAGACACGGCCCAGACUCCUACGGGAGGCAGCAGUGGGGAAUUGUUCGCAAUGGGCGCAAGCCUGACGACGCAAACGCCGCGUGGAGGAUGAAGGUCUUCGGAUUGUAAACUCCUGUUGCCCGGGACGAAUGGCUCCGACCUAACACGUCGGAGUGUGACGGUACCGGGUGAGGAAGCCCGGCUAACUCUGUGCCAGCAGCCGCAGUAA